RNAcentral lists this transfer RNA (88 nucleotides) under Rasamsonia emersonii CBS 393.64. It matches the Rfam family "tRNA". From Rfam's summary of the family: Transfer RNA (tRNA) molecules are approximately 80 nucleotides in length. The record is from Rfam by way of RNAcentral. Lineage: Eukaryota; Fungi; Ascomycota; Eurotiomycetes; Eurotiales; Trichocomaceae.
CUCCGUGGCGCAAUCGGCUAGCGCGUCUGACUGUUAACUGUUAUUCAACAGUGCAAUCAGGAGGUUGGCAGUUCGAGCCUGCCCGGGG